Molecule: transfer RNA, 358 nt
Filed under: uncultured Microcystis sp.
Lineage: Bacteria; Bacillati; Cyanobacteriota; Cyanophyceae; Chroococcales; Microcystaceae
Description: partial 16S-23S ribosomal RNA intergenic spacer
Rfam family: tRNA (bases 134-207)
Source: RNAcentral
AAGGGAGACCUAAUUCAGGUAUGGGACGAAAAAAAGUAGUCGCUACCAAGAAUCAAUCCCAAAAGGUCGGAGCGAGGCGAAAUUGGCUUUCAAACUAGGUUCUGGGUUCACACAAGACCUGAAUCAGGAACAAGGGCUAUUAGCUCAGGUGGUUAGAGCGCACCCCUGAUAAGGGUGAGGUCCCUGGUUCGAGUCCAGGAUGGCCCACCUGCACAGGUGGCAAAAACAAGAGAAGCUCCGAAUCAGCACCUUAUCUUACUUAUAUAGUAAGAGAGAAUGCUGGCUCUGAGUAAAGAGUCCAGAGGAACCUUGAAAACUGCAUAGAGCUAGGUGAAAAAGCCAAAAAAGAAGACCGCAA